Molecule: ribosomal RNA, 300 nt
Filed under: uncultured Vibrionaceae bacterium
Lineage: Bacteria; Pseudomonadati; Pseudomonadota; Gammaproteobacteria; Vibrionales; Vibrionaceae
Description: bacterial SSU rRNA
Rfam family: Bacterial small subunit ribosomal RNA
Source: RNAcentral
UGGUUGGGAACUUGGCCUAACGAGGGGGAUAACAGUUGGAAACGGCUGCUAAUACCGCAUGAAAUCUGUUCUGAAAGGGAUGGAUCAAAGAGGGGGACCGCAAGGCCUCUCGCGUUGGGAUAGGCCCAAUUGGGAUUAGCUAGUUGGUGAGGUAAUGGCUCACCAAGGCGACGAUCUCUAGCUGGUUUGAGAGGAUGAUCAGCCACACUGGAACUGAGACACGGUCCAGACUCCUACGGGAGGCAGCAGUGGGGAAUAUUGCACAAUGGGGGCAACCCUGAUGCAGCCAUGCCGCGUGUA